UUUGGAGACUACGCCGUCUCUGGAAACUUCUUGAACCCUAACUUCUGCUUUUGUUCAUCUUUCCUACUAAAAAAUUCUGAAAACAUUACAGAGUUACACCGAAUCGAAGUGUCGUUUUAAACGCACUCAUUAAUCAUUGUUCUCCACUCCUCACGCAAUCUAUCAUUGAAUGCAUCUACCAUCCUUUCUGUGAAUCUUGGAGAUUCCUCAACUAUAAAAAUUUUGUGAACUGUAUAUUUCUUUAUGCCCUAUGGUUCUAUCUAUCAUCAGGAACCAAAAGAGAAUAACCUCCGUCAAAAAGCUUUGACACUCAAUUGUCUACGUGAGAUAACAAUGACUACAGUAACAUAUACAUGAACGCAAGCGUUUAAAUCACAAGCCAAGGACCCCAAAACCGAAUUACUCAUUCAAGGUAUCUUUUCCUAUCUACACAUACACUACAUCGGAUUUUUCAAUUGAUCUCCUCUUCAGUUCAUCUUCACGGUCUUCUAAACAUGUAACAUUCAGACUAUAUAUUAGGUUUUGCGAAUGAUCGAUAUUGGUGUACAAAAUGAUUUUGGAAACGAUUUAAGGGAAACUUAUAGUUGCUUUUGUAAAUCCAUCGAUAUACAUUAAUUAGUGUUGCAACGAGUUCAUAUUAUGGUCUUUUAGCAAAUGAGUAAGUGAUUAUUUAUAAAUC
Molecule: long non-coding RNA, 679 nt
Organism: Brassica oleracea var. oleracea
Lineage: Eukaryota; Viridiplantae; Streptophyta; Magnoliopsida; Brassicales; Brassicaceae
Exons: 4
Source: RefSeq, a predicted model, not a curated record